Molecule: unclassified non-coding RNA, 430 nt
Filed under: soil metagenome
Description: partial contains 5.8S ribosomal RNA, internal transcribed spacer 2, and large subunit ribosomal RNA
Rfam family: 5.8S ribosomal RNA (bases 1-120)
Source: RNAcentral
GAUGAAGAACGCAGCGAAAUGCGAUACGUAAUGUGAAUUGCAGAAUUCAGUGAAUCAUCGAAUCUUUGAACGCAUAUUGCGCUCUCUGGUAUUCCGGAGAGCAUGCUUGUUUGAGUAUCAGUAAACACCUCAACUCCCUUUUCUUUUUUGAAAUUGGAGCUGGACUUGAGUGAUCCCAACGCUUUCUUCCAAGAAAGUGGCGGGUUGCUUGAAAUGCAGGUGCAGCUGAACUUUUCUCUGAGCUAUAAGCAUAUCUAUUUAGUCUGCCUAAAAAACAGAUUAUUACCUUUGCUGCAGCUAACAUAAAGGAGACUAGUUCUUGCGCUGACUGAUGCAGGAUUCACAGAGACAGCUUCGGCUGACUUUGUAAACUCGAUCUCAAAUCAAGUAAGACUACCCGCUGAACUUAAGCAUAUCAAUAAGCGGAGGA